Felis catus (domestic cat) is the source of this 4877-nucleotide long non-coding RNA. RefSeq lists it as uncharacterized. The record is from RefSeq and is a predicted model, not a curated record. Lineage: Eukaryota; Metazoa; Chordata; Mammalia; Carnivora; Felidae. The transcript has 8 exons.
GCGUUUCUCGUCCUGGGACUCCCUACAGGCACCCGUAGGUCUCUGGAGAUCCCGCGAGAUCAGGAAUCGGCUGGAAAGUGUGGUUGUGGCUGCACCUCCUGCAGCCAUAUGGCGCCUGUCGCUACGCAUUUGCUGAGGCUCUUCCACAGCCCUCAGGACCAGCACUUCAAAAUGAAAGGUUCAACUCAGAUAUUUGAAAUGCACUAUCCUUCCAGAAAUCACAUUGGAGGCUUUGUGGUUCCCUCAGUGUCCACUGGUUCCCUCAACCGAUAGUAGGCCACACAGAAGAAGCCCUAACAACUGAAAACGUAGCUUUCUUUUCAGGGUGACCAGGUGCUCCAUCAGGGCGUACUUUUUGUGUGGAAGAGCAGGUAGUCACUUGCCUCCUUGUUGGAAACGAUUUGCUUCUUACUUGAGGUUGUAGAGAUCUUCAAAUAUUUAGUCCAUCUUUUCAAGGAUGUUUGCAUAGUGCACAACAUUGGAAGAUACAGUGCCUUCCUUCAGAGGAAGAGACAAGUGUGUUUUCCCUCUAGUAUGAUGACGAUGAUGUCUUCCUUCGGAGAAGAGGGUGCUGCGUGACAAUAAAGGAUAUGUUUUAAAACAGAUGGGAAGAGUAGCAUGUGAUGCCCCUUCCAUUCUAUCCUGUCUCUGAGCCACCCUGUGCUUCUGUACAAGUUUCUGACAGUCUUGUGGCUCCCAACAAGAAGUGGAUUUAUACACUCCAGGAGGACUAGUUUCUUUUUUCUCCACCUCCAUGUUGCUAACCAUAAUUCUGACUCUGCCAGAGGAGAGGGAGAAGAGUGAGAAAAGAUUUUACUCCAGUGGUACCAUCUCAAUGCGGCAAGUAUUUAAGAUUGCCAGUUUAAAGCACAGAUUCUUGAAUAAUUUUAUGUGGACAGCAUCACCACUAUAUCCACUUUUCAGAGAGAUAUUAAUAUGCCAAAAUGUGAAUUCAGUCACAAUUACGACGUUGAGUUCUACUUGAAACUGGGUAAAGAAACAAAAGGAUUGCAGUAUAUGGAUGCUGUGGUGUUUUGUGAGUACAGUUGAUAUACCAGCCAAGAUGACACCAAGGACAUCCCCAAAAGUUAUUCAGACUGCAUGAUAGGUCUUCAUCUAUAUUCAAGUUACCCAGUUCUUACUUCUGCCAGCUCACAGUUCUGAAGAAGAAGAAAACAAGAGGUUUUAAAGAUACCUGCUUGACUAACACUUGUCUGUUUAUCAAAUUGAGAAAUAAACAGGUAAGUACACAAAGUUUUACAUAUUGUGUCCAAAAAUCAUUCAAAGCAACCCUGUGACUCCUCCCUCCCUGAAGUAUUUUCUCCCAUGUUCUUUCUCAAGCUUUUUAAAAGUUAAGUUUAAAAUAAUUUCUAAAUGGUUUAAAACUCAAAAGAAUUUGCAUAUAUAGUACAGAGAGCUUGGUUUUUCCAUGCACAAGCUUCCUCCGAUGAUAAUAUCUUGCAUAACCAUUGUACAGUGUCAGUUUGGUUUAGCUCAGGCUUCCAUAGCCAUAUACAAAGUUGUUGAUAAUGGAAAGGAAAAUGUACAGGUGUUUUGUUGAUGCAGUUGAAGCGUGAUGUUGGCCUUGUAAUAAAAAUUAGAGUAAUUUUAAUUUACCUCUCAGGAUAUAUCCAUAUUUUCAUUGGAUAAUUAGGGCAGCAACAAGGAGAGAAUUCAGCAAUGAACUAAGAGAGAGAAGAGAGUGAUUUAAUUUCUAAAUUCAUUACUUUGGGACAGCUUAUUUUCCUCAGCAAUAAAAUGUGUAUAAAUUUCCUUGCCAAGUAUCCUUAACAUGAUUGUUUGGAGGAUGAACAUUGGUUUAGUGACAUACUUGAAAUGUUUAUAAAUUCUAGGAUUAAUGUUUACAGGAAAGAACUGAUGAUCAUUUGACUCAUGUUUCUACACUGCUCUCUUACUUUGUAGCAAAUCCAUUGAAAUAAAGGUAAUAAUAUUUGAAUAGUCUUUGUAAACCACUUUAUAAAUUACUAGUUGAAUAUGUACAGUAACAUCAUAUGUUAUGUAUUAUAAUUCCCACUUCAUUGAUGGAGGAAUAGAUUAUGUAAGUUUCUCAAGCUCAUGAAAACAAUGAGUGAUGGAUCAAAAAUUUCAAUCAGACCCUUUAUUUCUCUAAUGCUACUGACAAUGGAUAUGUCACAGAGGCAGAAUUAGAGCCAGGCAAGUGAAGUAAAGAAGUUGCCUUCAGUAAAAAAUUUAAUGGGAUGCUAAAAACUCAGCAAUCAAGAUAAAUAUUUUAAUGCAGUAUUUUAAGGUAAUAAUACAAAAUAUCCAUGAUUAACAAAAUAUCAAAAUUUGAAAUAAAGACACAUCUUAUGAUUGACUUUUAGUUUUGCCUAAAGUUCCUUACUUAUAUGUGUCUGCAUGGCACUGAAUAUGUGGUUUGUAUAUUGGACUCUGGAGUUGUGAAGCUUGGGCACAAAUUCCUGUACUUACUCAUGGUAUACUCAUGGUAUAAUAAGCACAUAAUCUCACUUCUAUAAGCCCAAAUGUUCUCACCUAUAAAAUGUUUAUAACAUUAUUGCUUCCUUGAUAGGGUUUAUAGGAGGAUUAAAGAGACAAAGUGCUUGGUACAUUUUGUGGCAAUUUAUAAACAUUCAAUAUAUGACAUAAAGUUUUAGCUCUUAUUUAUGCUUAUAGUUAAAUAUAGCUUGUGUAGCAUAUAUGAAAAUACAUAACACAAUACAUUUAUGUAAAUAAAUGCAAGCACAUACAGAUGCACUACACACACACACACACACACACACACACACACACACACGUAUAAAAUCUCCAGAAAAACAUGAUAAAGCAGUGCAACAGCAUGAAGAUUAUUCAAACUAUUGGCGGUUUUAAGACCAUCUUCCCAGAAUCUUGGAAGUGUUUCAAAAUAGGAAGAUUAGUGAAGGAUAUUUAUUGGGUUUGAGAUUAAGGACUGGAUGAUUUUGAGGAGAGCCUGAAAGAGGAAAAAAAAGUGCUUGGGAUGGUCAGAGUUUGACACAGUAUCUUUGGACUGGGAAUCACAGAGAAGAAUGAGCCUGGAUAUGAGUCUUGGUGAGUACAUGAUUAAAUCUGACAGGAAAGCUGUUAGUUGUUUUACAUACCCAUCUCCCAAAAACAGUUAUCUCCUACAGCAAGUUCAUGUCACUUUUUAUUGUUAUUAGCAUUGCUUAACACAGAGGCAGGAAAUAUUUUGUUGCCUUCAUUUUUCUUUCUUUUUCUCUAUAUGUAAACAUAAACAUGUGUCUUUAUAAAUGUAUUAUACACACACACAGAUAAUAAGUAGGCAAAAUCUUUUCAGUUGCACUAUACAGUAAUUUAAAUGUGGUACUUACUGCUCCGAGUGAAUCUAAAAUCAUCAUCCUAGUGCUUGGGACCCUGUUAGCAGCCACUGCUCCAGUACUGUUUGGAUUCCAUCCCCAUAGGUGCAGCAACUUCACUGCAUAGUUAUGCUGUCUUUUCAGAUAAGAUGACAUUUAUUGUGCAUUAUCAAAUUUAUCCUAAACUUAAUUUAUUAUAACCUGUGAUACCUGACAUUUUGAAAAAUUCAUUAAAAUACAUAUACAAACAACUGACUAUCUUUGAAACAAAGGGUGGUUUACAAAGUUAUUAAUGAAUGUUUAUGUGUGUGCUCUUUGUAGUUAGCUGGUUAUUUCUAGAAACCUACUACUUAGCCUGAAUUUUAUUGUGUUCUUUUGAGGAAUAUUCUUAAACUAAAAUUAGCUAUAAUUUUUUUUUCUUAAUACUUGCAGCCAUGUAACUGAAAUAGCAAGUCAGUGACAGGUAGGAAAGACGUAACAAAGCUUGGAACCCAGAGACCCAAAUUUCAGUCUCUUAACCCUAUUUGCAACAGGAACUAAUAUGUAUCUUGUUAUUGCUAUUGAGCUACAGAACAAAGAGGUUAAAAGAUAAUACUAUCUAUGCUAUUUUAUGGUCUUGCUUUAAUAAAUUUAUAUUUUAAAAUGGCUUAUAUUUACAUGUUAUUAAAACCACAAUGAAGUGAUGGAGAGAAAUCACAUAAGUUAAAUUAGACAUCUUGGAACUUUUGUAGAGUUUUGUUUUUUUUUUUUUAUUUUGAAGACUACUAUGCAGCUCUUCUUUGUUAACUGUCAUUAUCUGUAAGCAUGAGAAAGAGUACAAAAGUUCUUACAUUACUGUGCCUUUCUUUUACAAUUGCAAUUCAUAAUAUUCCCAUAAUUUAUAAACAUAGGCACCUGGAGGGGCAUAAAUCUUCACCAUAUCACAUAAUAUAAUCAUAGGAAAAGAGAGAAAUAAAUCUUACAACGUGACCAAAGAUAACAACACUUAAACUAAUCCACAUAAAAUGUUCUUUUAAUUUUGAUUUUUGUGUUUGUGGUCAUGCUGAGAAAAAUGAUACUGUACUGAUGAUAGACAAAGCACACACAUGAAGAACUUGAGAGAAAGAUUAAUUUGUUAUUGUGUUAUUACUAGACGACGAUGAUCAAAUCACACACAUAAAACACAACACUCAGAACACCCUGCAACUUUGCUGAAUUCAUGAGUCAGUUCUAACAGUUUUUUGGUGGAAUCUUUUGGGUUUUCCUUAUAGAGUAUCAUGUCAUCUGCGAAGAGUGAAAGUUUGACCUCCUCCUGACCAAUUUGGAUGCCUUUUAUUUCUUUGUGUUGUCUGAUGGCUGAGACUAAGACUUCCAAUACUAUGUUGAAUAACAGUGGUGACAGUGGACAUCCCUGUCUUGUCCCUGUCCUUAGGGGGGAAGCUUUCAGUUUUCCCCCUUUGAGGAUUAUGUUAGCGUUGGGUCUUUCAUAUAUGACUUAUAUGAUCUCAAGGUAUGAUCCUUCUAUCCCUACUUUCUUGAGGGUUUUAAUCAAGAAAGAAUGCUGUAUUUUUUCAAUUGCUUUCU